UCGUUGUUCUCUUCAUUGUCGUUGUUGUUGUCGUCGUCGUCACUGUCAUUGUCGUCGUCGUUGUUGUUGUUGUUGUUAUUUUGUUGUUGUUGUUGUUGUCGUCGUCGUCGUCUUCAUUUUUGUUGUUGUUGUUGUUGACGUCGUCUUCAUUUUUUUUGUCGCUGUUGUCGUUGUUGUUGUUGUUGCCGUUGUUAUUGUUGUUGUUUCCGUGGUUGUCGUUUUUCCCUUCAUUACAUUUGCUAUCGUCGUUGUUGUCGUCGUCGUUGUCAUUGUUGUUGGUGUUGUUCUUGUUGUUGUCUGGUUGUUGUUGUUGUUGUUGUUGUUGUUGUUGUUGUUGUUGUUGUUCUCUUCGUCGCCGUCAUCCUCGUUGUCGUCGUGUAACAUCCCAAAAUUAUAAAUU
RNAcentral lists this long non-coding RNA (400 nucleotides) under Hordeum vulgare. Its description in RNAcentral is "long non-coding RNA (HVUL_LNC021559)". The record is from RNAcentral. Lineage: Eukaryota; Viridiplantae; Streptophyta; Magnoliopsida; Poales; Poaceae.